Molecule: ribosomal RNA, 561 nt
Filed under: uncultured bacterium
Lineage: Bacteria
Description: bacterial SSU rRNA
Rfam family: Bacterial small subunit ribosomal RNA
Source: RNAcentral
CCUACGGGAGGCAGCAGUGGAGAAUAUUGGACAAUGGGCGAAAGCCUGAUCCAGCAAUGCCGCGUGAGUGAUGAAGGCCUUAGGGUUGUAAAGCUCUUUUACCAGGGAUGAUAAUGACAGUACCUGGAGAAUAAGCUCCGGCUAACUCCGUGCCAGCAGCCGCGGUAAUACGGAGGGGGCUAGCGUUGUUCGGAAUUACUGGGCGUAAAGCGCACGUAGGCGGCUAUUCAAGUCGGGGGUGAAAGCCCGGGGCUCAACCCCGGAACUGCCCUCGAAACUAGGUAGCUAGAAUCUUGGAGAGGCGAGUGGAAUUCCGAGUGUAGAGGUGAAAUUCGUAGAUAUUCGGAAGAACACCAGUGGCGAAGGCGACUCGCUGGACAAGUAUUGACGCUGAGGUGCGAGAGCGUGGGGAGCAAACAGGAUUAGAUACCCUGGUAGUCCACGCCGUAAACGAUGAUAACUAGCUGUCCGGGCACUUGGUGCUUGGGUGGCGCAGCUAACGCAUUAAGUUAUCCGCCUGGGGAGUACGGUCGCAAGAUUAAAACUCAAAGGAAUUGACGG